CGCCGCCGUCGGCGAGUCCGGCGAUGACGGCGUUGACGUCGCCGGUGAAGAGGCGCCGGAAUCGUUGCCAUUGUUCGGUGCCGGGGACGACGUC
This 94-nucleotide transfer RNA is filed under the name Saccharomonospora xinjiangensis. RNAcentral describes it as "tRNA-Val". Lineage: Bacteria; Bacillati; Actinomycetota; Actinomycetes; Pseudonocardiales; Pseudonocardiaceae. The record is from RNAcentral.